GGAAAUUCCAAUCUUUUUUGGGCUGAGCGUUAUGGGAAACAAUUCCUAGGCAUGAAUGAUUUGUGGGUCAAACAUUGUGGAAUCAGCCACACCGGUAGCUUCAAGGAUCUUGGCAUGACCGUAUUGGUGAGUCAAGUAAAUCGGUUGCGGAAAAUGCAUAAACCAGUUGUGGGUGUUGGCUGUGCUUCCACUGGAGACACGUCUGCUGCGCUGUCAGCUUACUGUGCAUCUGCAGGCAUU
This 240-nucleotide unclassified non-coding RNA is filed under the name Hevea brasiliensis (rubber tree). The record is from RNAcentral. Lineage: Eukaryota; Viridiplantae; Streptophyta; Magnoliopsida; Malpighiales; Euphorbiaceae.